RNAcentral lists this ribosomal RNA (1112 nucleotides) under Bacillus siamensis. RNAcentral describes it as "bacterial SSU rRNA". It matches the Rfam family "Bacterial small subunit ribosomal RNA", at positions 35 to 1127 of the family's 1533-position model. The record is from RNAcentral. Lineage: Bacteria; Bacillati; Bacillota; Bacilli; Caryophanales; Bacillaceae.
CCUGGCGGCGUGCCUAAUACAUGCAAGUCGAGCGGACAGAUGGGAGCUUGCUCCCUGAUGUUAGCGGCGGACGGGUGAGUAACACGUGGGUAACCUGCCUGUAAGACUGGGAUAACUCCGGGAAACCGGGGCUAAUACCGGAUGGUUGUUUGAACCGCAUGGUUCAGACAUAAAAGGUGGCUUCGGCUACCACUUACAGAUGGACCCGCGGCGCAUUAGCUAGUUGGUGAGGUAACGGCUCACCAAGGCGACGAUGCGUAGCCGACCUGAGAGGGUGAUCGGCCACACUGGGACUGAGACACGGCCCAGACUCCUACGGGAGGCAGCAGUAGGGAAUCUUCCGCAAUGGACGAAAGUCUGACGGAGCAACGCCGCGUGAGUGAUGAAGGUUUUCCCAUCCUAAAGCUCGGGUGGGAGGGAAGAACAACUCCCCUUCAAAUAGGGCCGCACCGGGACGGGACCCAACCAAAAAGCCACGGCUAACUACGUGCCACCAGCCGCGGUAAUACGUAGGGGGCAAGAGUUGUCCAGAAUUAUUGCGCGUAAAGGGCUCGCAGGCGGUUUCUUAAGUCUGAUGUGAAAGCCCCCGGCUCAACCGGGGAGGGUCAUUGGAAACUGGGGAACUUGAGUGCAGAAGAGGAGAGUCGAAUUCCACGUGUAGCGGUGAAAUGCAUAGAGAUGUGAAGGAACACCACUGGCGAAGGCGACUCUCUGGUCUGUAACUGACGCUGAGGAGCGAAAGCGUGGGGAGCGAACAGGAUUACAUACCCUGGUAGUCCACGCCGUAAACGAUGACUGCUAAGUGUUAAGGGGUUUCCGCCCCUUAGGGCUGCAGCUAACGCAUUAACCACUCCGCCUCCGGAGUACGGGCGCAAGACUGAAACUCAAAGGAAAAGACGGGGGCCAGCACAAGAGGAGGAGCAGGUGGGAAAAACCGAAGCAACGCGAAGAACCUUACCAGGUCUUGACAUCCUCUGACAAUCCUAGAGAUAGGACGUCCCCCUCGGGGGGCAAAUUGACAGGGGGUGCAUGGUUGUCCCCAACUCGGGGAGUGAAAUGUGGGGAAAACUCCCGCAACCAGCCCAACCCUUGAUCUUAGUUGCCAGCAUUCA